AUGAAUAACUAUCUUCAAAGAGAACAUAAUAAAAAAGAAACACAACUAAAAAUCCAUAAAAUUAUUCCAUUUCGUAAACUACACAAAAUAGAAGAAGUAGUAAAUAAGUUAAUGACUGAAGCAGUAACUGAGGUAGAAGAAGAAGAUAAAUCAAAAUCAUUUAUACAUAAAAAAAAUAAAAACAUUUUAAAUGCUCAUGACAUAAGUAAAAUAAAACAAAAAAAAAAUCUUGAAAAUUUUAUAAAUACAUUAAACAAUCUGUUUAAUAAUUUUAUCUUACGUAGUUUAACGCAUAUGUAUGCUGAUCAGAGUUUGAAACAAGGGACGAUUAUGGAGUUGUUACAUAAUAAUAAUGUAGGUAGUGUCGUUAGUGAUAGUAAUAUUAACGUUUGGAAUGAAAUAGAUACAAAGAAAAAAAAUACCAAACACACAAUAGACAGUAUAACACUAUGUAACAAAAGUAUAUCUCAUGUAGUUAAUGGUACUACAUAUACAAAUGUUGCUAAAAACAACUUCAAUCUUUUUGGUAAAUACAAUUAUAAACAUCUAACAAAAAAUAAAAAUAAAAAAAAUCUGAAUAGAAAAAAUGAGAAUGAUACAACGAAAAAGGUAGAGACUGGAAUAAAAAUAAAACAACAUACUAAACACAUGAUAAGUUACAAAAAUAGAAAUUAUCACAUGUAUUUAAAUCGAUACAUUUUUUAUAAUAAAAUAUCUUGCGGUUAUAAUAAAAAUAGUUCUAUUUGGAAUAAGAAAUUACUCAAGUUAUAUAUAAAAACAAAACAGAAAAAUAAAAAAAUAAAUAAAAAUGGGUUAAACAGGUUAAACAGGUUAAACAGGUUAAACAGGUUAAACAGGUUAAACGGGUUAAACGGGUUAAACGGGUUAAACAGGUUAAACGGGUUAAACGGGUUAAACAUGUUAAACGGGUUAAACGGGUUAAACAGGUUAAACAUGUUAAACGGGUUAAACAGGUUAAACAGGUUAAACGGGUUAAACGAGCUAAAACAAACGGAGUAUAAUAACGUGAAUAUUGAUUUAGAAAAAAAAAAUAAUUACCAAAGGAAUAGACCAUUUGACGUAAAAACACAAUUAAAAACAAGAUAUAUAACUACUUUAAAAAAACAAAUUGUUUUAUUAAUUAAAUAUUUAUAUAACUUUUUUUUUUUAUCAAAAUAA
Molecule: long non-coding RNA, 1179 nt
Filed under: Piliocolobus tephrosceles (Ugandan red Colobus)
Lineage: Eukaryota; Metazoa; Chordata; Mammalia; Primates; Cercopithecidae
Description: lncRNA (ENSPTEG00000007964.1)
Source: RNAcentral